AGCGGCGGACGGGUGAGUAACGCGUGGGUAACCUGCCUCAUACAGGGGGAUAACAGUUAGAAAUGACUGCUAAUACCGCAUAAGACCACAGCACCGCAUGGUGCGGGGUAAAAACUCCGGUGGUAUGAGAUGGACCCGCGUCUGAUUAGCUAGUUGGUAAGGUAACGGCUUACCAAGGCGACGAUCAGUAGCCGACCUGAGAGGGUGACCCGGCCACAUUGGGACUGAGACACGGCCCAA
Molecule: ribosomal RNA, 240 nt
Filed under: uncultured bacterium
Lineage: Bacteria
Description: partial 16S ribosomal RNA
Rfam family: Bacterial small subunit ribosomal RNA
Source: RNAcentral